GACGAAGGGGGCUAGCGUUGUUCGGAAUUACUGGGCGUAAAGCGCGUGUAGGCGGUUGUCCAAGUUGGAUGUGAAAGCCUUGAGCUUAACUCAAGAAAUGCAUUCAGGACUGGAUGACUAGAGGACCGGAGAGGAUAGUGGAAUUCCCAGUGUAGUGGUGAAAUACGUAGAGAUUGGGAAGAACACCAGUGGCGAAGGCGGCUAUCUGGACGGUUUCUGACGCUAAGACGCGAAAGCGUGGGGAGCAAACAGG
RNAcentral lists this ribosomal RNA (253 nucleotides) under uncultured bacterium. RNAcentral describes it as "partial 16S ribosomal RNA". It matches the Rfam family "Bacterial small subunit ribosomal RNA", at positions 524 to 776 of the family's 1533-position model. The record is from RNAcentral. RNAcentral also lists the same sequence under 1 other name.